This 30-nucleotide non-coding RNA is filed under the name Rattus norvegicus (Norway rat). Lineage: Eukaryota; Metazoa; Chordata; Mammalia; Rodentia; Muridae. The record is from RNAcentral.
UUUAAGACUUUAAGUUUUUAAGAGGAGUCA